This 721-nucleotide long non-coding RNA is filed under the name Bos mutus (wild yak). RNAcentral's name for it is "lncRNA (ENSBMUG00000006274.1)". Lineage: Eukaryota; Metazoa; Chordata; Mammalia; Artiodactyla; Bovidae. The record is from RNAcentral.
CCCAGCCAAAUGGCUUGGCCUCCUCGGGCACCAGAACCAAGGGGCGGGGGCGCGUGACCGUCCCGUUUGGAAGCCAUGGGGAGUGGAGGCUCAUCUGCCCACGAUCACCGCAGGCAGGCCCCAGACGGUUGCGGAACCGACGAGCCCAGCCUGUCUCCGUGGUAACCGGCUGGCCGCAGAGGACUGUGGGAAGUGUAGUUGAGCAGGACCGGCCGGUGCUCGAGGUCAGAGGGGUUGCCGUUAUACCGCCGGCCACUCCGGGCAGAACGAUUUUGCGGCGUCCGGGCGACGUCGUCCCGCCGUCACUUUGGCCUCUGAUCACCCAGGCAGAACAUUUCUGAAAUUAAAGAAGCUCAUGAAGAGUUUAUCAGAAACAUAACUCUCCCACGGCACAAGUUAAGGCUCCUUGGGGACUUCUCCAGUCAAGAAUGACCCCAGUAAUGGUGGGGGCUGUGUCCUUGGCCACCCCCCCACCCCCCGCCAGAUCCAGUGCCAUAGACCGGAGUCUGGGGAACCUCCCAGAGGGGAGGUUGAGCAGCUGGCCUGCCCCAGAGAAGAGUUUCGAGCAGGAGAGUGAAGAGAGGAGCCAGGAAGGUGACCAGAGUGACCAGAACUGCCAGCCAGACAGAUGUAAAGCUCUUUGAGGAAGAACCACCCCGUGUCCCUUGGACUCACAGCACCAAGGGACACCAAGCACCGAGGGACUCGGGAUGACGUGGGG